RNAcentral lists this unclassified non-coding RNA (236 nucleotides) under uncultured Paraphoma. RNAcentral's name for it is "sequence contains ITS2". The record is from RNAcentral. Lineage: Eukaryota; Fungi; Ascomycota; Dothideomycetes; Pleosporales; Phaeosphaeriaceae.
AACGCACAUUGCGCCCCUUGGUAUUCCAUGGGGCAUGCCUGUUCGAGCGUCAUUUGUACCUUCAAGCUUUGCUUGGUGUUGGGUGUUUGUCCUGAGGGACUCGCCUUAAAGUAAUUGGCAGCCAGUGUUUUGGUUUUGAAGCGCAGCACAAGUCGCGAUUCAAGGCUAUACGCCAGCUUCCACGAGCCUUUUUCACUUUUGACCUCGGAUCAGGUAGGGAUACCCGCUGAACUUAA